This 472-nucleotide ribosomal RNA is filed under the name uncultured bacterium. RNAcentral describes it as "bacterial SSU rRNA". It matches the Rfam family "Bacterial small subunit ribosomal RNA", at positions 328 to 793 of the family's 1533-position model. The record is from RNAcentral.
CGUUGACACUCCUACGGGAGGCAGCAGUGGGGAAUAUUGCACAAUGGGCGCAAGCCUGAUGCAGCCAUGCCGCGUGUAUGAAGAAGGCCUUCGGGUUGUAAAGUACUUUCAGCAGUGAGGAAGGCAGGUACGUUAAUAGCGUGCUUGUUUGACGUUAGCUGCAGAAGAAGCACCGGCUAACUCCGUGCCAGCAGCCGCGGUAAUACGGAGGGUGCGAGCGUUAAUCGGAAUUACUGGGCGUAAAGCGCAUGCAGGUGGUUCGUUAAGUCAGAUGUGAAAGCCCGGGGCUCAACCUCGGAAUUGCAUUUGAAACUGGCGGACUAGAGUACUGUAGAGGGGGUAGAAUUUCAGGUGUAGCGGUGAAAUGCGUAGAGAUCUGAAGGAAUACCGGUGGCGAAGGCGGCCCCCUGGACAGAUACUGACACUCAGAUGCGAAAGCGUGGGGAGCAAACAGGAUUAGAUACCCUGGUAG